AUGCCUACGGGACGCAGCAGUGGGGAAUAUUGCACAAUGGGGGGAACCCUGAUGCAGCGACGCCGCGUGAAGGAAGAAGUAUUUCGGUAUGUAAACUUCUAUCAGCAGGGAAGAAAAUGACGGUACCUGACUAAGAAGCCCCGGCUAACUACGUGCCAGCAGCCGCGGUAAUACGUAGGGGGCAAGCGUUAUCCGGAUUUACUGGGUGUAAAGGGAGCGUAGACGGAGGAGCAAGUCUGAUGUGAAAAUCCGGGGCCCAACCCCGGAACUGCAUUGGAAACUGUUUAUCUAGAGUGUCGGAGAGG
This 305-nucleotide ribosomal RNA is filed under the name uncultured bacterium. Its description in RNAcentral is "bacterial SSU rRNA". It matches the Rfam family "Bacterial small subunit ribosomal RNA", at positions 335 to 657 of the family's 1533-position model. The record is from RNAcentral.